This is an RNA transcript of Eptesicus fuscus (big brown bat), 3265 nucleotides long. It is a transcript of the gene named tRNA methyltransferase 12 homolog, with no coding region annotated. NCBI's taxonomy places the organism in Eukaryota, Metazoa, Chordata, Mammalia, Chiroptera, Vespertilionidae. The record is from RefSeq and is a predicted model, not a curated record. The transcript is spliced from 2 exons.
UUCCUGCGGAGGCUGAGUGGACCCGGAGCUGAGGCGAGGGGGAAUCUGAGAGAAUGUGAGGCCAGCGACAUGGAAAAGGAAGGUGGGAAGCCCGCGGCCGUGGUCGCAGUGGUCGCGGAGCCGCGGUUUGCCCAGCGAUGCCGGGAAUACCUGGAGAAGGAGAAACUCCUGGACAGACAGCACCGCGCGGAGAAGAUGCCGGAUGGCACCGUGGCGCUGCCCGUGCUGGGAGAGGCGCUCCCCGAGCGGCACCUGUGGCAGCUGAGGAGUUGUGUGGCUCCCGGCAGCACCUGUACACUGACGCAGCUCCUGGCCCCUGUUCCUUCACGGAAGGCCCGGGCUUGUUCACCGGCCCAACGGCUACGCCUUGAGGUGAGUCGCUGGGUCGAGGCCCGGGGAGUGACAUGGUCCGCUGAGUUGGAGGCCGAUUUACCCCGAACCUGGCAACGACACGGUAACCUCUUGUUGCUGAGUGAGAACUGUUUCCAGGCUGAGCAGUGGGAAAAUCUGGAACCAGAACUCUGGGAGAUUGUGGCCUCGGCCCUUGGCGUCCAGCGUUUGGCCAAACGAGGGCGGGUAUCACCUGAUGGCACUCGAACGCCAGCCGUGACUCUGCUGCUGGGCGACGAUGGCUGGGUUGAGCAUGUGGAUAAUGGGAUCCGAUAUAAGUUUGACAUAACCCAGUGCAUGUUCUCCUUCGGGAACAUCACUGAGAAGCUUCGAGUGGCAUCGCUGCCCUGUGCGGGACAAGUGCUGGUGGAUCUCUAUGCAGGCAUUGGUUAUUUCACAUUGCCAUUCCUAGUUCACGCCGGUGCUGCCUUCGUCCAUGCCUGUGAGUGGAACCCCCAUGCUGUAGUUGCUCUGAAACGUAACCUUGAGAUCAAUGGAGUAGCAGAUCGGUGCCAAAUACACUUUGGAGACAACAGAAAGUUGAACCUCUCAAACAUUGCAGACCGGGUGAACCUGGGGCUGAUUCCAAGCUCUGAAGAAGGCUGGCGGACUGCCUGCCGGGUGCUACGAAAGGAUGCUGGGGGCAUUUUGCAUAUCCACCAAAACGUGGAAUCUUUCCCAGGGAGGAAUCUCCAGCCUUCUGGAAACAGUGAAAUGGAGAAGGAGCAUUGGCUUUGUCCUCAGCAAAUUAUCAGUAACCAAUGGGAAAAUGGAGCUAGUGGGGAUUCUAGGAGAAACGUGCUGUCAGCAGCCAUCAAGCCAGAGUGGCACAGGUGGGCGGAGUCUGCAGAAACUCGAAUUGUCACUCUUCUUCAGCAGGUGCAUGGGAAACCGUGGAAGACACAAAUCUUGCACAUCCAACCAGUGAAAUCCUAUGCACCCCAUGUGGAUCACAUAGUCCUGGAUCUAGAAUGCCGGCCCUGUCCUCUGGUUGGCUAGAGAAGGUGGAUCCAGAGACAUGAACGUCUACGUGUGAGUGAACCUUAAUGCAUCAGCUCAGGCCAGCUUCUCACCCCUCUUGUUUCCGGUAAUCUAUUUUAAUAUAGUAUUUUGUGGCCCUGCAAGCAGACUCUAGACCAGUCCAUCCUAGGAGAAGCAGUAUGACUCACUGAAAUGAGGCCCAUCAGUGCAGUCAUGAAUUCCGAAUCCUGACCUCGGUUCUGUCUGACCGGGGGUACAUGGUUUCAGUAUUCUUUUGGCAUUGGAUUUCCUUAUUUACAAAAUAAGGGUUUCUUUGAAUUAUCUUACAUGGCUUUUAUUUAAUGAGCAGUUGUACACAGGAUGUUGGUUAUCAGAGUGAAAGGCAGUGCUGUUUUCAAAAUCACUCUGGUUACAAUAUGGAAAAUCAACUGGAAGGUGUCCAGGAUGGAAGCAGACCAGUGAGAAGGUUUCUGUAGUUGUCCAGGCAUGAGGUGAUGGUGGCUUCUAGUUGGUGGCAGUGGGAGGUGGAUGCAUUUGAGAAAUAAAAUCAAUGUGACUAAACAAUGGAGUCUAUAUCAAGACAUUAAAAUGGUGCUGCUUUAUUAUUAUCACUGACAAAAUAGGGAGGGAAGAGGACAAAAAUUAGUGUAUUAAUUCUACUUAGGCAUACCUAAAUGAGUGUUGGGAGGAGGGUGAUGUCUUCAAUAUUGGGCUUAUUGUGGUAGAAAAGUGGAUAAAAUGACUGCUUUAAAUCAGAGGGAAACUAGACUUUCAGUCUUAAGCUGUGCAAUAGCUGCCAAUUACUAGCGGGGUUUUUUGUGUUUUUUUUAAUCCUCACUCGAGCAUAUGCUUAUUGAUUAGAGAGAGGGGAAGGAAGAGAGAGCAUGAGAGAAACAUGGAUGCAAGAGAGAACAUUGAUUGGCUGCCUUCCACAUGUCCCUUGACCAGUGAUCGAACCAGCAUUCUAAGUAUGUGCCCUUCCCUGGACUCAAACCCGAAAACUCGUAUAUGGAUGGCGCUCCAACCAACUGAGCCAUACCAGCCAGGGCUUGCUAGCUAUUUUAAAAGUUCGAAUUAAAACCUUAAAUUUUUAAAGGGCUCCGACUCACUUUUCAUCUUCCUUCCCUGGCCAACAACAUCAGGACCAGCGGAAGGAGCUGUAGGGAAUGUGAGGUGUUCUGCAGUUUUUCAAGCCUUACUUUAUUUUAUGUCUGUCUGCCAUCACCAAUGUUUACCCUUUGGAUGACUAAUUAUAGGGAAUCACUCUGUUUACCUUUAGGAUGACUAAUGGUGGAGAAUCACUCCUCAGAGCCUUAUUUUGGUGCACUUUGAAGCCUGGACUUGUUUAUCUGAUAGAGGACAUAGAUAACAGCAUGUGGCUUUAUCAGGAUUAUGAUUGUACCUGGCCUUUGGUUAGCUGGGGUUGGGCUGGCUGCUUGUCCUUUUUGCAACAGUGGCUGUAAACCAGACAGGAUUGGUGCUGUUUGUGUUAUCCGCUAAAUAUUGUGAGUACUAUAUACGUGGGCCACAGGAAAUGUAUUCACUAGACACAGUUCCUGUCUCUGAGGAGCUCACACCCUAGCAGCUGAUACACAAAUACUCAAAAGAAUUUGAAGAUGAUGAAGAUGUUAAAAUCGGCUUGUCAAUUUUUGGAAAAAAGAAUCUGCUGAGAUUUUCUUGUUGGGAUUACAUUGGACCUAUAGGGUAAAAUUGGCAUUGUUACAAUAUUGAAUCUUCCAUUUUGAAGUUUUUAUUCUACUCAUUUGGGUGUAGCUAUGAAAUGAGAAAUGAUUUUUGAAAAAAUGAAAGGUGAUUAUCAGAAGCUGGGACUACAGUAUCCCAUCUAAGAUGAAGGGUCCUAUACUUCCCAUGUCAGUGGGAUACUAUAUCCAUC